Molecule: ribosomal RNA, 253 nt
Filed under: uncultured bacterium
Lineage: Bacteria
Description: partial 16S ribosomal RNA
Rfam family: Bacterial small subunit ribosomal RNA
Source: RNAcentral
UACGUAGGGACCAAGCGUUGUUCGGAUUUACUGGGCGUAAAGGGCGCGUAGGCGGCUUAACAAGUCACUUGUGAAAUCUCCGGGCUUAACUCGGAACGGCCAAGUGAAACUGUCAAGCUAGAGUGCAGAAGGGGCAAUCGGAACUCUUGGUGUAGCGGUGAAAUGCGUAGAUAUCAAGAGGAACACCUGAGGUGAAGACGGGUUGCUGGGCUGACACUGACGCUGAGGCGCGAAAGCCAGGGGAGCAAACGGG